Molecule: transfer RNA, 72 nt
Filed under: Phrynosoma platyrhinos (Desert horned lizard)
Lineage: Eukaryota; Metazoa; Chordata; Lepidosauria; Squamata; Phrynosomatidae
Description: tRNA-OTHER
Source: RNAcentral
GUUUGUGUGGCGUAGUGGUUUGAGCAUUGGACUAGGACUCUGGAGAACAGGGUUCGAUUCCCAGCUCAGCCA